This 486-nucleotide ribosomal RNA is filed under the name uncultured bacterium. RNAcentral describes it as "partial 16S ribosomal RNA". It matches the Rfam family "Bacterial small subunit ribosomal RNA", at positions 29 to 507 of the family's 1533-position model. The record is from RNAcentral.
AUUGAACGCUGGCGGCAUGCCUUACACAUGCAAGUCGAACGGCAGCACGGGUGCUUGCACCUGGUGGCGAGUGGCGAACGGGUGAGUAAUACAUCGGAACAUGUCCUGUAGUGGGGGAUAGCCCGGCGAAAGCCGGAUUAAUACCGCAUACGAUCUACGGAUGAAAGCGGGGGACCUUCGGGCCUCGCGCUAUAGGGUUGGCCGAUGGCUGAUUAGCUAGUUGGUGGGGUAAAGGCCUACCAAGGCGACGAUCAGUAGCUGGUCUGAGAGGACGACCAGCCACAACGGGGAUGAGACACGGGCCAGACCCCCACGGGAGGGAGGAGUGGGGAAUUUUUGGCAAGGGGGGAAAGCCUUACCCAGCAAAGCCGGGGGUGGGAAGAAGGGCCUUGGGUUUUAAAAGCAUUUUUUUCGGGAAAAAAACCCUUGGCCCUAAACAGGCGGGGGGAGAAGGGAACCGAAAAAAAAAGCACGGGUAACUUCGUG